CCUUCGGGAACUCUGACACAGGUGCUGCAUGGCCGUCGUCAGCUCGUGUCGUGAGAUGUUGGGUUAAGUCCCGUAACGAGCGCAACCCCUAUCCCUAGUUGCUAGCAGUUCGGCUGAGAACUCUAGGGAGACUGCCGGUGACAAACCGGAGGAAGGUGGGGAUGACGUCAAGUCCUCAUGGCCCUUACGGGCUGGGCUACACACGUGCUACAAUGGUGCGCACAGAGGGCUGCAAACCCGCGAGGGGGAGCCAAUCUCACAAAACGCAUCGUAGUCCGGAUCGCAGUCUGCAACUCGACUGCGUGAAGUCGGAAUCGCUAGUAAUCGCGAAUCAGAAUGUCGCGGUGAAUACGUUCCCGGGCCUUGUACACACCGCCCGUCACACCAUGGGAGUGGGUUGCACCAGAAGUAGCUAGUCUAACCCUCGGGAGGACGGUUACCACGGUGUGAUUCAUGACUGGGGUGAAGUCGUAACAAGGUAGCCGUAGGGGAACCUGCGGCUGGAUCACCUCCUU
This 515-nucleotide ribosomal RNA is filed under the name uncultured Pelagophyceae. RNAcentral's name for it is "partial Bacterial small subunit ribosomal RNA". It matches the Rfam family "Bacterial small subunit ribosomal RNA", at positions 1017 to 1532 of the family's 1533-position model. Lineage: Eukaryota; Pelagophyceae. The record is from RNAcentral.